Molecule: long non-coding RNA, 944 nt
Filed under: Sinocyclocheilus anshuiensis
Lineage: Eukaryota; Metazoa; Chordata; Actinopteri; Cypriniformes; Cyprinidae
Description: lncRNA (ENSSANG00000019602.1)
Source: RNAcentral
AUUUGUGGCUGCGUUUAGUACUCUAUGUGUAGUUACAUGCCCAGAGAAACAUUUCCAACUUCAAGAAUCGCUGUGCUGCUUGAACUGCCCAGAAGGUAUGUAUGUUGCCCAGAACUGCUCUGGAGGACCCAUGAACUACGUUGGUGUGCUAUGUAAUCCAUGCCGCAGAUGUGAAGGUAUGAAAAAAUUGCUUUCAUUUAUGUUUAAACAACUAAGAUUUGAAAUUGCUCUAAUAACAAUAAAACCUUUUUUUUUUUCAAACUAUAGAACUUGGAGAGAUAACUGUGUCCCAGUGCACGCAGUUUUCAGACACACGGUGUGCCAGGAAACAGAUAACCUCGUAUGGUUCCUCAUCUGUGAUAGCCGCUGUGUUCAUGCUGGCUGUGAUUGUGGCAGCCUGCUUCUUUUGCAGAAUCAGUAAAUCUGGUGAAUCUGAUGAAAGCUCUGCAGGAGAACCAUUCCACAUUUCCGUAUAAAAGAUGCAGAGACAGUCUGAAGAAAAUCUUAACUCAGGAAAAAGGCCAACAUCAAGUAUUGUAUAUUAUCAUUUAGUGAUUCAAUAACAUUAGAAAUACUGCAAUACAAAGCUUUUUUCUUAUAUAUUAAUGUAUUAUUUUAUUCAUUUUCAUUUUAAUUUAAUUUAAUUUUCUUUUUAGAAAAAAAGUUCACAGGACCAAUUCUCACUGCUAACUAACUUUUUAAGUCGAGUCACCUUUAUUUAUAUAGUGCUUUAAACAAUACAGAUUGUGUCAAAGCAGCUUUACAGUGUUAAACAUGAAAAUAGUGUGUCAAUAAUUCAAUCAAACCUCAAUUCUGCUGUAAAGCAGCUUUACAGUAGUAAACAAUAGUAAACUAUUAACUAUUGUGUCUUUUGCCUUUUUAGUUUGUAAGGUAUUUGUUAAGUUUUAGAAUUAAGGGAUCUAAAAUGUGGACAUGCAGAGUGG